AACGAACGCUGGCGGCAGGCUUAACACAUGCAAGUCGAACGCAUCCUUCGGGGUGAGUGGCAGACGGGUGAGUAACGCGUGGGAACGUGCCCUUCAGUUCGGGAUAACCCAGGGAAACUUGGGCUAAUACCGGAUACGUGCGAGAGCAGAAAGAUUUAUCGCUGAAGGAUCGGCCCGCGUCUGAUUAGCUAGUUGGUGGGGUAAUGGCCCACCAAGGCGACGAUCAGUAGCUGGUCUGAGAGGAUGAUAAGCCACAUUGGGACCAAGACACGGCCACAACUCCUACGGGAGGCAGCAGUGGGGAAGAUUGGACAAUGGGCGCAAACCUAAUCAAGCAAUGCCGCGUGAGUGAUGAAGGCCUUAGGGUUGUAAAGCUCUUUCGUCCGGGACGAUAAUGACGGUACCGGAAGAAGAGGCCCCGGCUAACUUCGUGCCAGCCGCCGCCGUAA
RNAcentral lists this ribosomal RNA (449 nucleotides) under uncultured bacterium. Its description in RNAcentral is "partial 16S ribosomal RNA". It matches the Rfam family "Bacterial small subunit ribosomal RNA", at positions 29 to 523 of the family's 1533-position model. The record is from RNAcentral.